RNAcentral lists this ribosomal RNA (535 nucleotides) under Enterococcus faecalis. Its description in RNAcentral is "bacterial SSU rRNA". It matches the Rfam family "Bacterial small subunit ribosomal RNA", at positions 93 to 614 of the family's 1533-position model. The record is from RNAcentral. Lineage: Bacteria; Bacillati; Bacillota; Bacilli; Lactobacillales; Enterococcaceae.
GAGUGGCGGACGGGUGAGUAACACGUGGGUAACCUACCCAUCAGAGGGGGAUAACACUUGGAAACAGGUGCUAAUACCGCAUAACAGUUUAUGCCGCAUGGCAUAAGAGUGAAAGGCGCUUUCGGGUGUCGCUGAUGGAUGGACCCGCGGUGCAUUAGCUAGUUGGUGAGGUAACGGCUCACCAAGGCCACGAUGCAUAGCCGACCUGAGAGGGUGAUCGGCCACACUGGGACUGAGACACGGCCCAGACUCCUACGGGAGGCAGCAGUAGGGAAUCUUCGGCAAUGGACGAAAGUCUGACCGAGCAACGCCGCGUGAGUGAAGAAGGUUUUCGGAUCGUAAAACUCUGUUGUUAGAGAAGAACAAGGACGUUAGUAACUGAACGUCCCCUGACGGUAUCUAACCAGAAAGCCACGGCUAACUACGUGCCAGCAGCCGCGGUAAUACGUAGGUGGCAAGCGUUGUCCGGAUUUAUUGGGCGUAAAGCGAGCGCAGGCGGUUUCUUAAGUCUGAUGUGAAAGCCCCCGGCUCAACC